Scophthalmus maximus (turbot) is the source of this 120-nucleotide ribosomal RNA. NCBI's taxonomy places the organism in Eukaryota, Metazoa, Chordata, Actinopteri, Pleuronectiformes, Scophthalmidae. The record is from Ensembl.
GCUUACGGCCACACCGCCUGGUUCCACGCCCGAUCUCGUUUGAUCUCGGAAGCUAAGGUAGGUUGGGCCUGGUUAGUACUUGGAUGGGAGACCGCCUGGGAAUACCAGGUGCUGUAAGCU